This 402-nucleotide ribosomal RNA is filed under the name Leptomenaeus dolichosternum. RNAcentral describes it as "partial 12S ribosomal RNA". The record is from RNAcentral. Lineage: Eukaryota; Metazoa; Arthropoda; Malacostraca; Decapoda; Palaemonidae.
UAUAAACUAGGAUUAGAUACCCUAUUAUACUAUUUGUAGAAACAGCUUGCUUGAGUAGUAAUCAGUUAUGAUCUUGAAACUUAAAGGAUUUGGCGGUACUCAAGUCUAGUUAGAGGAACCUGCUCUGUAAACGAUAUGCCACGAAUUAUCUUACUUUUUCUAGUUUUCAGUUUGUAUACCUCCAUUAUAAGAUAGUGUUUAUAAACAAAUAUUAAGAUAAUACUCUAUUAGUAUAUUAGGUCACGGUGCAGCCUAUGUAAAAGUUGUAGUGGGUUACAAUACAACUUAUGUGUUCGGAUAGAGGGUUUAAAAUUCUCUUUAAGUUGGAUUUAAUUGUAUGCUUAUUUUAAUAAGUUAAGUUGGUAUUAGCUCUAGAGUAUGUACACAUCGCCCGCUCUUAAA